This 815-nucleotide long non-coding RNA is filed under the name Sus scrofa (pig). RNAcentral describes it as "lncRNA (ENSSSCG00070026018.1)". The record is from RNAcentral. Lineage: Eukaryota; Metazoa; Chordata; Mammalia; Artiodactyla; Suidae.
CCGAUUCAGCCCUGAGGCAGAAAAACUGGACAAAGCAGUUUUUUUCCCCCUUCCCCUUUAUAGAGUGUGUGAUUUGUGCAACAGCUUUGGCUUGGCAAAUAGGGAAGUGUCAGCGCUAAAUCAGCUUUACUCUAAGGGCACGGUACGCCUGUGUUUCUCAACCGAGUGAUACCCAAAUCCAGGACCAUUUUACUUCAAGUGGAAUACACACACAGAGCAAACAUUCUCAAGUCUUACAAAGUGGCCAGACCUCAUCCAAUUGGCUGAAGAUCCACCUAAGAGGACUGAAUGCGCGAUCCUGCUGCAAGAAGCAUGGUGGACGCCUACCCAGUGGGUUAGAAGAGGUUGAGCAACACAAGUCUUCCAUACCAGGUGACUUAAAGACAACAGUGAGGAUAUCCAUAUUCUGGAGGUUGGAUCUCUGGGAAAGCUGGUCACUGGCUUCUGCCUGGCAUGAAGGGUACAGAAGGUAGGAUUUCCUUCUUUAAGGUGUUUGGUAUAUGAAACUGCGUGUUUCUGGCCUGUGCUACCUUGUCCCAGUUUAAAGCCCACUGUACUAGCUUGACAUCUGGCUGAGGCAUGAUCCCUUUCUUUUCAUUUCAUUCAGCCUUGAUCUCCCAAUUGGCCUUUGACUGCUGACUUUCGUACUCUUUUUGGUUCCAGACUGUCUGCUUGGCCUGACCUUGUGCUUAAUGCUUGACCUCUCCAUGACUCCUAGGAACCAUACCCUGAACCUAGAUUGACUGCUGUCCACAGCUCAGUCAGAAAAUGGAAGCCUUUAGAAUAAAUGAAUUAUCAAAGAGAGGAGAAAUACA